GAGUAGAUACACGGGAGUCCCGAGGUACGUGGGGCUGAGAGUGGACACGCCCGUCCUUACCGUCAAUACCUGAACCGGAUCAUGCCGGCGCAGGGAGUGAGGUGGUGAGAAAU
Molecule: non-coding RNA, 113 nt
Filed under: Rhodococcoides fascians
Lineage: Bacteria; Bacillati; Actinomycetota; Actinomycetes; Mycobacteriales; Nocardiaceae
Also listed under: 1 other name
Description: Rhodococcus fascians TPP sequence
Rfam family: TPP riboswitch aptamer (THI element)
About the family: Vitamin B(1) in its active form thiamin pyrophosphate (TPP) is an essential coenzyme that is synthesised by coupling of pyrimidine and thiazole moieties in bacteria. The previously detected thiamin-regulatory element, thi box was extended, resulting in a new, highly conserved RNA secondary structure, the THI element, which is widely distributed in eubacteria and also occurs in some archaea.
Source: RNAcentral